RNAcentral lists this ribosomal RNA (995 nucleotides) under uncultured bacterium. RNAcentral describes it as "bacterial SSU rRNA". It matches the Rfam family "Bacterial small subunit ribosomal RNA", at positions 355 to 1375 of the family's 1533-position model. The record is from RNAcentral.
UGGGGAAUAUUGCACAAUGGGGGAAACCCUGAUGCAGCGACCCCGCGUGGAGGAAGAAGGUCUUCGGAUUGUAAACUCCUGUUGUUGAGGAAGAUAAUGACGGUACUCAACAAGGAAGUGACGGCUAACUACGUGCCAGCAGCCGCGGUAAAACGUAGGUCACAAGCGUUGUCCGGAAUUACUGGGUGUAAAGGGAGCGCAGGCGGGAAGACAAGUUGGAAGUGAAAUCCAUGGGCUCAACCCAUGAACUGCUUUCAAAACUGUUUUUCUUGAGUAGUGCAGAGGUAGGCGGAAUUCCCGGUGUAGCGGUGGAAUGCGUAGAUAUCGGGAGGAACACCAGUGGCGAAGGCGGCCUACUGGGCACCAACUGACGCUGAGGCUCGAAAGUGUGGGUAGCAAACAGGAUUAGAUACCCUGGUAGUCCACACUGUAAACGAUGAUUACUAGGUGUUGGAGGAUUGACCCCUUCAGUGCCGCAGUUAACACAAUAAGUAAUCCACCUGGGGAGUACGACCGCAAGGUUGAAACUCAAAGGAAUUGACGGGGGCCCGCACAAGCAGUGGAGUAUGUGGUUUAAUUCGACGCAACGCGAAGAACCUUACCAAGUCUUGACAUCCUGCGACGGACAUAGAAAUAUGUUUUUCCUUCGGGACGCAGAGACAGGUGGUGCAUGGUUGUCGUCAGCUCGUGUCGUGAGAUGUUGGGUUAAGUCCCGCAACGAGCGCAACCCUUAUGGUCAGUUACUACGCAAGAGGACUCUGGCCAGACUGCCGUUGACAAAACGGAGGAAGGUGGGGAUGACGUCAAAUCAUCAUGCCCUUUAUGACUUGGGCUACACACGUACUACAAUGGCGUUAAACAAAGAGAAGCAAGACCGCGAGGUGGAGCAAAACUCAGAAACAACGUCCCAGUUCGGACUGCAGGCUGCAACUCGCCUGCACGAAGUCGGAAUUGCUAGUAAUCGCAGAUCAGCAUGCUGCGGUGAAUACGUUCCC